RNAcentral lists this long non-coding RNA (614 nucleotides) under Mytilus galloprovincialis (Mediterranean mussel). Lineage: Eukaryota; Metazoa; Mollusca; Bivalvia; Mytilida; Mytilidae. The record is from RNAcentral.
UAUGUUUCACGUUCAAAUACAUAUUUCAAGUCUGGACUUCAGAUAUGUGUAUCAAGACAACCCCGUUAUUCCGAUACACCCAUGUUACGACAUACUUUUAUUCAACAGUCUGAUAUAUAAAGACAAGGGUUAAUAGUUGUGUCAUAAGAAUGUCAACUUGUAGAGUUUAAUCAAUAUUUCAAAAAAAAAAGAACCAUUUAUUUAUUUCAAAAUUCCAAAACUAGAAAACCGAGCAGCUCAUUUGUCGUCCUGAAUAUGCAUGGCAUUUUUGGCUACUUGAUUUACCAUUGUUUAAACAAGGCAAAGUCAGUGACUUGCUAUUGGGAAACCAAACAGGCCUUUGAAACUGCGAUGCUAUAUGUUCUCAGAUAUGACGAUUCUAUGACAGUGUCGUGGGAACUAAAACAUGGAACAAAACCUAUUUCAAAAUAUAAAUUGCCAAAAUGUGUUGAUGACGCUUUAAUAAUUUGCGUCCAUGUCUACUCCUUCUAAAAUUGUAAUAACUGUGUUUGAAUACUAACAUCAAAGUUUUAAAAGAGAUCAAAGUCGAAAUUUCGAUUGUAAAAAAAAAUCGAAAUUUUGAGUUUAAAAAAAGUCGAAAUUUUGAGUUUAAA